CAAAUGACUCUCGGCAACGGAUAUCUCGGCUCACGCAUCGAUGAAGAACGUAGCAAAAUGCGAUACUUGGUGUGAAUUGCAGAAUCCCGUGAACCAUCGAGUUUUUGAACGCAAGUUGCGCCCGAAGCCUUCUGGUCGAGGGCACGUCUGCCUGGGCGUC
RNAcentral lists this ribosomal RNA (160 nucleotides) under Ligularia hodgsonii. RNAcentral's name for it is "5.8S ribosomal RNA". It matches the Rfam family "5.8S ribosomal RNA". Rfam says of the family: 5.8S ribosomal RNA (5.8S rRNA) is a component of the large subunit of the eukaryotic ribosome. It is transcribed by RNA polymerase I as part of the 45S precursor that also contains 18S and 28S rRNA. Functionally, it is thought that 5.8S rRNA may be involved in ribosome translocation. Lineage: Eukaryota; Viridiplantae; Streptophyta; Magnoliopsida; Asterales; Asteraceae. The record is from RNAcentral.